GAUGAAGAACGCAGCGAAAUGCGAUAAGUAGUGUGAAUUGCAGAAUUCAGUGAAUCAUCGAAUCUUUGAACGCACAUUGCGCCCUUUGGUAUUCCUUAGGGCAUGCCUGUUCGAGCGUCAUUUAAACCUUCAAGCUCAGCUUGGUGUUGGGUGACUGUCCGCUUCACCGCGGACUCGCCUCAAAAUUAUUGGCGGCCGGUACAUUGGCUUCGAGCGCAGCAGAAACGCGAACUCGGGCCCGUCGUAUUGGCUCCCAGAAGCUAUCUUCACAAUUUUGACCUCGGAUCAGGUAGGGAUACCCGCUGAACUUAAGCAUUUCAAUAAGCGGAGGA
This 332-nucleotide unclassified non-coding RNA is filed under the name soil metagenome. RNAcentral's name for it is "partial contains 5.8S ribosomal RNA, internal transcribed spacer 2, and large subunit ribosomal RNA". The stretch from base 1 to 120 matches the Rfam family "5.8S ribosomal RNA", at positions 35 to 154 of the family's 154-position model. The record is from RNAcentral.